This 68-nucleotide transfer RNA is filed under the name Truljalia hibinonis. RNAcentral describes it as "tRNA-Gln". It matches the Rfam family "tRNA". Rfam says of the family: Transfer RNA (tRNA) molecules are approximately 80 nucleotides in length. Their secondary structure includes four short double-helical elements and three loops (D, anti-codon, and T loops). The record is from RNAcentral. Lineage: Eukaryota; Metazoa; Arthropoda; Insecta; Orthoptera; Gryllidae.
UAUAUUUUAGUGUAUGAGCACAAAAAAUUUUGAUUUUUUUAGUAAUAGUUUAAUUCUAUUAAGUAUAA